Molecule: long non-coding RNA, 210 nt
Filed under: Nicotiana benthamiana
Lineage: Eukaryota; Viridiplantae; Streptophyta; Magnoliopsida; Solanales; Solanaceae
Description: long non-coding RNA (NBEN_LNC031325)
Source: RNAcentral
AAAAUAAAUAGGCACUCAAAAUAAGUACAUGUUCGAGAAUCAUUAAACAACUCCUUAUCAAUCUCGACUUCUUUCAAUAUGAACAACAAUUCAACCGAUUUAAUGGACUAGUAUAUAAAAAAUUUCUCGUGAUAGAAAAUAAAUAGGCACUCAAAAUAAGUACAUGUUCGAGAAUCAUUAAACAACUCCUUAUCAAUCUCGACUUCUUUC